GUGGGGAAUUUUGGACAAUGGGCGCAAGCCUGAUCCAGCAAUGCCGCGUGCAGGAAGAAGGCCUUCGGGUUGUAAACUGCUUUUGUACGGAACGAAACGGCUCUGGUUAAUACCCGGGGCUAAUGACGGUACCGUAAGAAUAAGCACCGGCUAACUACGUGCCAGCAGCCGCGGUAAUACGUAGGGUGCAAGCGUUAAUCGGAAUUACUGGGCGUAAAGCGUGCGCAGGCGGUUUUGUAAGACAGGCGUGAAAUCCCCGGGCUCAACCUGGGAAUGGCGCUUGUGACUGCAAAGCUGGAGUGCGGCAGAGGGGGAUGGAAUUCCGCGUGUAGCAGUGAAAUGCGUAGAUAUGCGGAGGAACACCGAUGGCGAAGGCAAUCCCCUGGGCCUGCACUGACGCUCAUGCACGAAAGCGUGGGGAGCAAACAGGAUUAGAUACCCCAGUAGUCC
RNAcentral lists this ribosomal RNA (450 nucleotides) under uncultured bacterium. RNAcentral's name for it is "partial 16S ribosomal RNA". It matches the Rfam family "Bacterial small subunit ribosomal RNA", at positions 354 to 796 of the family's 1533-position model. The record is from RNAcentral.